AUUGAACGCUGGCGGCAGGCCUAACACAUGCAAGUCGAGCGGAAGAAGGGAGCUUGUUCCUGGAUCCAGCGCGGGACGGGGGAGUAAUGCCUAGGAAUCUGCCUGGUCGUGGGGGAUUACGUCCGGAAACGGGCGCUAAUACUGCAUCCGCCCUGAGUGAGAAAGUGGGGGAUCGUCGGCCUUCACGCUAUCAGAUUAGCCUAGGUCGGGUUGGCUAGUUGGUGGGGUAAAGGCCUACCCACGCGAAGAUCCGUAACUGGUCUGAGGGGAAGAGCAGUCACACUGGAACUGGGGCACGGUCCAGACUCCUACGGGAGGGCGCAGUGGGGAAUAUUGGACAAUUGGCGGAAGCCUUGUCCAACCCUGGCGCGUGUGAUAAGGAGGUCUUCGGAUUUUAAAACUCUUUUAGUUGGGAGGAAAGGAAGUAAGUUAAUACCUUGCUUUAUUGACGUUACCCGCAGAAUAAGCACCGGCUAACUUCGUG
RNAcentral lists this ribosomal RNA (484 nucleotides) under uncultured bacterium. Its description in RNAcentral is "partial 16S ribosomal RNA". It matches the Rfam family "Bacterial small subunit ribosomal RNA", at positions 30 to 507 of the family's 1533-position model. The record is from RNAcentral.